GAGGGAACCGGGACAACCACGGCCCUGCCGCCUUCCCUUUUAUGUGCCUGUCCUGAGCAUAGCAGAAAAUGGUGCCCACGGCAGCAUCAGGACGCGCUCGGAGGCCCUUAUCCUAGCUGGUUCGGGCUCCCCGCGGCGAUCGCCCCCGCGCGGGGAAAGCCCGAGGCUGGAGACCGCGAAGCUGGCGCAGCGGGGUCAGGGGCUGCGGGCAGGAGGACGCACACGCGCACGGUCGCGUGCACAAUCACACGCGCGCACUCGGACACUUUCAGCCCGGCGCGCGCACAGGCUGUAAGAAAAGGGCUGCCUGGAACAUCUACGGUGCAGACACAGACACAGGCAGAGGGAGUAACCCAUGAAGACAGAGGAUGCAAAGAGCUAUGUACAAGACAAAGAGAUGUCCAGAAAAGCCAAAAGUCCCCAGGACAUCACCACCUCCAGUUUCCAUAGCAUCACAAGGUCGCUUGAUCUAAAAUUGAAGUUGUCAUCUCCCUUGGAAAGUUGAGAACAGCUUCUACUCUAUUUAUGUCUGUGCGCACAUUUAUACAUAUUUUCUCAGUCGAGGUGGAAAAGCCCCUCAAACCUUUCUUCCACUUAAUCUUGAGUUUUCAUCAACUCAUCUAUUAAUCAGGAUUCUUCAAGUGUCAGCUUAAGUAUCACAGCACCUCUCUUACACUCCUAGACCAUUUAUCACUUCAGCGAGUACUGAGCAUUUGUUUACUAUGAAAAGACAAGGUGUGAGUCAGCUCAAAAUGAUGGACAUGUUCCACCCAACUGCACUGUCCUGUUGGAACGUGAUGCUGCGAAUGAUCAUGAAGACACACACAAUAAGUAAGUAAGGCAUUUGUAGAUAAAGAAAAUUAACAGCAGACGACUGGUAAAGAACUCUGGGAAGAAGAUUGAUGGGAGAGACUCUCAGAAAAGGUCUUUCUCAGUUGACACUGCACUGAGACUUGACUCACGAAACGGACCCAGCAAUUGAAAGAGCUGAGGAAUGAACGUUCUUAUUAGAGCAAAAAGGAUGAUUCAAAAGUCGUCGGGCAUAAGCCAGUGGGAAUUUCCAAGACAUAGGUAAGCUUGAGUGACAUCAUUGGCUAGAGUAUGGUGAGCAUGGAAGCAGGAACUGUAGGGAAAACACCCCCACUGGGGCUGACUUCAUCUAAUCUCUCCGUGGAUUACCAUGUAAAUAAUGUGGCUGAAAUCACAAACAACACUCACAGUUAACAAGGAACAAAGAUUUAAAAACGAAUAUUUUCUGAUCAGAGGCCUCAUAUAUGCUAUAUUUUGAAUAUAUGUAUUAUAUAAAUAGAUAUGUACUAAUGGCAUAUUUAAAAGCUGAAUCUUAUUAUGUCACGGAAAGUCAGCAUUUCCCUAUUUCAGUGGGAAAUAUGACAAAAUGAUGACAAAAUCUACAAGAAUACUCUCUAUGACAUCAGUUAUAGACACUGAGCAAAAAUUCAUGGUUGAAGAAUGAUUUUUAAAUUUCCCCUUAAAAUAGCUUAUAGAUGGGGCUGGAGAUAUGGCUCAGUGGUUAAGAGCCCUUCCAGAGGUCCCGAGUUUAAUUCCUAGCAGCCACAUGAUGGCUCGCAACCAUCUGUAAUGGAAUCCAAUGUCCUCUUUUGGUGUGUCUGAAGAUUUUAUGCAUAUACAUAAAAUAAAUAAAUAAAUCUUUAAAAAUAGUUUAUAGAUUGUUAAAUAUAACAUUAUGAGACACAGUAAUAGGGGAACGUUUUAGAGGAAUUGUCAAUAUUACAAGUUCACUGAAGUUUAAGACUGGAAAGUGCUUCAGCCUCCCUCACUCUAACACGAAACUCCUAGAUCUUUAAUAUGCCAUAGAAUUGCUGUGUGAAAACUUACAAGUAAUGUCUUACACCUGAAUGCAAUUCUUCGGUUGUACUCAAGUUGUGAUGUUUAAAUUAUUGCUUCAAAUCCUGUCAAGAGUUUAUUUUUACAGUACUAAAAAAAAAAUCAGAAUUGAAGAGGUUGCUUUUUAUUUUAAAUUUAGAGUUCUUAGAUAGUUUUGAAAUUUUAUUUAAGUAUUUAUUUGACAUUUUAUCUAUCCCCUAUCACUAAAUGUAUAUAAAUGAUUUUAGGAUUUUUUUUUUUUUGGUCAUUAAUGAAAAGCUAUCCUCAAACAAAACAAAACAAAACAAAACAAAACAAAUUAAACUAAUAGUCUAGUUUUCUGAAGCCCAGAAGGCCAAUUACAAUAUAUAAAUUUCAAUAUAUUCAUGGCACUUAGGGAACAUCUGUAUGCAUUUGAUAAGGCCAUGCCAUUCCCCCACCAAGGAACAGGUGUCCGGCCUCAGAGAUGUAAUAGCUUCUUCCAGAUAGUCAUUAGCACACAGAUAGGGAUCUAUUGUUCCAGGAUAGUAGUACAGUUCUCUUGAAGAACACAAGUGAAAUCACCUUAACAUAGCACCAUAGAUAAGUUAUUUCAGUGAAAAGACAAUUUUUGUUAUCUAUUAAUAACCAUAAUAUGAAUUAGUCUAUCUCACAGACCAACAACUUUGGAUUGAAUAGCAUUGCCUUGUUAUUAAUUGUUACUGCUGCUUUGUAUCUCUUAAACAGCAAGAUGAAGAUAUCCACAUGAUCUACUUGAAGUUUUUUGUUUAUUUGUAUUCAACUAAAGCCAACACAGUCUUGAGACUUCUCGAAGUUUGUGAUACUGCUUUCUAAUUUUUGACACAAUAAAAUAUAGUAAGAUGAAGC
Mus musculus (house mouse) is the source of this 2712-nucleotide long non-coding RNA. RefSeq annotates it as predicted gene 10549. The record is from RefSeq and is marked validated. The transcript is spliced from 3 exons. Lineage: Eukaryota; Metazoa; Chordata; Mammalia; Rodentia; Muridae.